GCCGUGUGUGGUGGCACAUGUCUGUAGUCCCAGCUACUUGGGAGGCUGAGUCAGUAGGAUCACUUGAGCCCAGGAGUUCUGGGCGAUUGUGAACUAGGCGAUCGGGCGUCUGCACUAAGUUUGGCAUCAAUAUGGUGAUGUUUUGGGAGCAGGGGACCACCAGGUUGCCUAAGGUGUCUGAGGAGGGGUUUCCAGGUUGGAAACGGAGCAGUUCGACACCCCCAAGCUGAUCAGUAGUGCGACUGCUCCUGUGAGUAGCCGCUGCACUCCAGCUUGGGCAGCAUAGCGCGACUCCACUUCU
This is an unclassified non-coding RNA of Homo sapiens (human), 301 nucleotides long. Lineage: Eukaryota; Metazoa; Chordata; Mammalia; Primates; Hominidae. The record is from Ensembl.